Etheostoma cragini (Arkansas darter) is the source of this 89-nucleotide long non-coding RNA. RefSeq lists it as uncharacterized. The transcript is spliced from 4 exons. The record is from RefSeq and is a predicted model, not a curated record. NCBI's taxonomy places the organism in Eukaryota, Metazoa, Chordata, Actinopteri, Perciformes, Percidae.
GGGGGGGUGAGGAGAGAUAGCGGUGCUCUAAUUAACUGCAGCACCACUGCUCAGUAUCGAUGCAUGGUUCAAAAGGGGACCCUUUCUGU